GCCGGGAUGGUGGAACAGGUAGACACAAGGGACUUAAAAUCCCUCGACAUUCAACCGUCGUGCCGGUUCAAGUCCGGUUCCCGGCA
Molecule: transfer RNA, 86 nt
Filed under: Treponema saccharophilum
Lineage: Bacteria; Pseudomonadati; Spirochaetota; Spirochaetia; Treponematales; Treponemataceae
Also listed under: 2 other names
Description: tRNA-Leu
Rfam family: tRNA
About the family: Transfer RNA (tRNA) molecules are approximately 80 nucleotides in length. Their secondary structure includes four short double-helical elements and three loops (D, anti-codon, and T loops).
Source: RNAcentral